RNAcentral lists this long non-coding RNA (222 nucleotides) under Physcomitrium patens. RNAcentral's name for it is "long non-coding RNA (PPAT_LNC004694)". The record is from RNAcentral. Lineage: Eukaryota; Viridiplantae; Streptophyta; Bryopsida; Funariales; Funariaceae.
UCAAGUAGCUUCCACGAGCUUGAAAACUUCUCAAGUAGCUUCUACAAACUACAAAGCUUCUCUAGAACCUUUUAGAAUCUUCUACAACUUCCUAGUGUAUGUCCUUGACAUCACCCCCCUCCUCCUUUUGCUUCGAGGUCUACGAGAAGCACUCCUAUUACGAGUCAGUACCAACGUAAGAAGUUAAAAAUUUGUCACAUAGUGUCUACAAUAUACUCCAAU